This 57-nucleotide transfer RNA is filed under the name Ptyas korros. RNAcentral describes it as "tRNA-Ser". Lineage: Eukaryota; Metazoa; Chordata; Lepidosauria; Squamata; Colubridae. The record is from RNAcentral.
GAGGGCGCCAUAAGACCUGCUAACUCUUUAAUCUGGAAAUAACUGCCAGCCCCCUCU